Molecule: ribosomal RNA, 274 nt
Filed under: uncultured bacterium
Lineage: Bacteria
Description: partial 16S ribosomal RNA
Rfam family: Bacterial small subunit ribosomal RNA
Source: RNAcentral
AUACGGAGGGUGCAAGCGUUAAUCGGAAUUACUGGGCGUAAAGCGCGCGUAGGCGGUUUGGUAAGUCGGAUGUGAAAGCCCAGGGCUCAACCCUGGAAUUGCAUUCGAUACGGCCGGACUAGAGUAUGGUAGAGGGAAGUGGAAUUUCCGGUGUAGCGGUGAAAUGCGUAGAUAUCGGAAGGAACACCAGUGGCGAAGGCGACUUCCUGGGCCAAUACUGACGCUGAGGUGCGAAAGCGUGGGGAGCAAACAGGAUUAGAAACCCCGGUAGUCC